This 87-nucleotide transfer RNA is filed under the name Candidatus Shapirobacteria bacterium CG09_land_8_20_14_0_10_38_17. Its description in RNAcentral is "tRNA-Leu". It matches the Rfam family "tRNA". Rfam says of the family: Transfer RNA (tRNA) molecules are approximately 80 nucleotides in length. Their secondary structure includes four short double-helical elements and three loops (D, anti-codon, and T loops). The record is from RNAcentral. Lineage: Bacteria; Candidatus Shapironibacteriota.
GCCCUGGUGCUGGAAUUGGUAGACAGGCUAGCUUUAGGAGCUAGUGUCGGUGACGGCGUGAGAGUUCGAUUCUCUCCCAGGGCACAA